UACAGAGGUGCCGAGCGUUAGGCGGAAUCACUGGGCUUAAAGCGCGUGUAGGCGGGUCGUUAAGUGCCUUGUGAAAUCCCACGGCUCAACCGUGGAACGGCUGGGCAUACUGGCGAUCUUGAGGCACCCAGGGGCUGUCGGAACAAAUGGUGGAGCGGUGAAAUGCGUAGAUAUCAUUUGGAACGCCAACGGUGAAAACAGACAGCUGGGGGUGUCCUGACGCUGAGACACGAAAGCCAGGGGAGCGAACGGG
Molecule: ribosomal RNA, 253 nt
Filed under: uncultured bacterium
Lineage: Bacteria
Description: partial 16S ribosomal RNA
Rfam family: Bacterial small subunit ribosomal RNA
Source: RNAcentral